Carassius auratus (goldfish) is the source of this 2066-nucleotide long non-coding RNA. RefSeq lists it as uncharacterized. The record is from RefSeq and is a predicted model, not a curated record. The transcript is spliced from 10 exons. NCBI's taxonomy places the organism in Eukaryota, Metazoa, Chordata, Actinopteri, Cypriniformes, Cyprinidae.
ACCGUAGUUUGUCUGAAUAUUUGAUUCUGAUUGGCUAAAAGGUGUGCAUUAAAAUAAUUUGAUUCACUGGUAGAUCCACUCAGUGUAAUUACAAUUAAAGUUAAAUGUGCUGCUGCAAUCACAUACAUGCAAACAAAAUACUUGCACACGAGAUCGGAGAUUAAAAUAAUGUGAACUGUGACAUUUUGCAUUUAUUUUUUUUAAAUAAUUUUUUUAAAACCUCAGUCGCAUUGCUUAACUGCCACUCAUAAAUCCUCUCCUGUGUUCUCAUGGAGUAGUCAAGUGUCCAUUGUGAGCAUACUUCAGAAUCUCAGCAGAAGUACUUUGAUUUUGGAUGCUGCUCUGCUCACAUACUAAUUAAUGAUUAAUGUUUGAAAGUGAAGUGUAAAAUAAAUUAUAUAAAUAUUUUAUUUGACUGGGUAAUUACAGUAAUAUUUCAGUCUUCAUAUAUUAAUAAUUGAAUUAAAAAAAUAAGCAAAAUAAUAAUGUUAUUAUUUAGAUGUUGUUAUUUGUUCAAAUUUACAUGGUUUCCAAAAACACUGUGAAUGGAAACCUAGACAACCAUCACAUCUAAGAUAUAAUGUGUACCAAUAACCGGUUUUGUUUUGUUGUUUUUGUGUAAACAGAUAUUGCAGAUCUGGAGAAAAAUGCAGCACUGCUAAUCUUACCAUGUUUAUUCACAGAAAACAUCAAGUUUCUCUUCUGUCUGGACAAUCAUAUUCACACAGCGCUGUCUCGUGAGUGCAGUGGAUGUUUUUGAAUUCCAACGGUCGAGAAGAGAUUGAUCCCCGUCUGCUGAUUUAAAUUGAUGGUCUGACAGAAAUAUUGUUGUGCGGAUUUACACUAAAACACGAAAGAGCCUGAACCGCGAAAGUGUCACAAGUUGCCUUACAUCCAUAAGUUUUGUUGUGCUUGUUGCAAACUGUUAAAUUAAGUGUUUUCCGAUCCUAAGCUUAGAAAAAAAGAUGCAAGACUUCAAACUUUCCAGUACUCCUGUGAACUGAUAAUCCGGUUUCCACCCAGUCCCAGGAGAUUAUAUUAAACCUGGAAAAUAUUGGAGAAGAUCAAUUAAGUUUUCAGGAGCACAUUACUGUGAUAAAUGCUGAGCUAUGUAAAAGACAACCUGCUACACCAACAUAUCAAAAAUCGAAUGAGGUGCGCUCUUGUUAAAAGAGUUGAUUUAAUGACAAAAUCAACAUGAGAGGUCAUGGACAUGUUCCCAUUUCUUCGGGUUCCACAAAAUCUGCUGCAUGAAGUGAAGAUGCGGUUUGGGAAGGACCUCCAUCUUAAUCUAGAGACUGCUCUUCAGAUAUUGCAGAUCUGGAGAAAAAUGCAGCACUGCUAAUCUUACCAUGUUUAUUCACAGAAAACAUCAAGUUUCUCUUCUGUCUGGACAAUCAUAUUCACACAGCGCUGUCUCGCGAGUGCAGUGGAAGGUUUUGAAUUCCAACGGUCGAGAAGAGAUUGAUCCCCGUCUGCUGAUUUAAAUUGAUGGUCUGACAGAAAUAUUGUUGUGCGGAUUUACACUAAAACACGAAAGAGCCUGAACCGCGACAGUGUCACAAGUUGCCUUACAUCCAUAAGUUUUGUUGUGCUUGUUGCAAACUGUUAAAUUAAGUGUUUUCCGAUCCUAAGCUUAGAAAAAAAGAUGCAAGACUUCAAACUUUCCAGUACUCCUGUGUACUGAUAAUCCGGUUUCCACCCAGUCCCAGGAGAUUAUAUUAAACCUGGAAAAUAUUGGAGAAGAUCAAUUAAGUUUUCAGGAGCACAUUACUGUGAUAAAUGCUGAGCUAUGUAAAAGUCAACCUGCUACACCAACAUAUCAAAAAUCGAAUGAGAUGCGCUCUUGUUAAAAGGGUUGAUUUAAUGACAAAAUCAACAUGAGAGGUCAUGGACAUGUUCCCAUUUCUUCGGGUUCCACAAAUUCUGCUGCAUGAAGUGAAGAUGCGGUUUGGGAAGGACCUUCAUCUCAAUCUACAGACUGCUCUUCAAUUAAAUUAAAUUAAAUUAAAUACAUGCAUUUAGCAGACGCGACUUACUGUGCAUUCAGGCUAUCAAUUUUUUAC